GGCCUGGUGGUGUAUGGAGCACAACCGCGAUGAAUGAUCCGCCUAUCCUGAAGGUACGCCAGCGGUGGGACGUGGUUCGAUUCCACGCCAGGCCC
Crucibulum laeve is the source of this 95-nucleotide non-coding RNA. The record is from the annotation of a GenBank genome assembly. Lineage: Eukaryota; Fungi; Basidiomycota; Agaricomycetes; Agaricales; Nidulariaceae.